RNAcentral lists this transfer RNA (72 nucleotides) under Bos taurus (domestic cattle). It matches the Rfam family "tRNA". Rfam says of the family: Transfer RNA (tRNA) molecules are approximately 80 nucleotides in length. Their secondary structure includes four short double-helical elements and three loops (D, anti-codon, and T loops). The record is from Rfam by way of RNAcentral. Lineage: Eukaryota; Metazoa; Chordata; Mammalia; Artiodactyla; Bovidae. RNAcentral also lists the same sequence under 5 other names.
UCCCUAGUAGCUCAGUCAGUAAAUCAUCUGCCUGCAAUGCAGGAGACCUGGGUUUGAUUCCUGGGUUGGGAA